GGCGGUGUAGCUCAGUUGGUCAGAGCGCACGGUUCAUACCCGUGGUGUCGCAGGUUCGAAUCCUGCCACCGCUACCA
RNAcentral lists this transfer RNA (77 nucleotides) under Clostridia bacterium. RNAcentral's name for it is "tRNA-Met". It matches the Rfam family "tRNA". From Rfam's summary of the family: Transfer RNA (tRNA) molecules are approximately 80 nucleotides in length. Their secondary structure includes four short double-helical elements and three loops (D, anti-codon, and T loops). Further hydrogen bonds mediate the characteristic L-shaped molecular structure. tRNAs have two regions of fundamental functional importance: the anti-codon, which is responsible for specific mRNA codon recognition, and the 3' end, to which the tRNAs corresponding amino acid is attached (by aminoacyl-tRNA synthetases). tRNAs cope with the degeneracy of the genetic code in two manners: having more than one tRNA (with a specific anti-codon) for a particular amino acid; and 'wobble' base-pairing, i.e. permitting non-standard base-pairing at the 3rd anti-codon position. The record is from RNAcentral. Lineage: Bacteria; Bacillati; Bacillota; Clostridia.